This 558-nucleotide ribosomal RNA is filed under the name uncultured bacterium. Its description in RNAcentral is "bacterial SSU rRNA". It matches the Rfam family "Bacterial small subunit ribosomal RNA", at positions 338 to 916 of the family's 1533-position model. The record is from RNAcentral.
CCUACGGGAGGCAGCAGUGGGGAAUCUUGCGCAAUGGGCGAAAGCCUGACGCAGCCAUGCCGCGUGAAUGAUGAAGGUCUUAGGAUUGUAAAAUUCUUUCACCGGGGACGAUAAUGACGGUACCCGGAGAAGAAGCCCCGGCUAACUUCGUGCCAGCAGCCGCGGUAAUACGAAGGGGGCUAGCGUUGCUCGGAAUUACUGGGCGUAAAGGGAGCGUAGGCGGAUAGUUUAGUCAGAGGUGAAAGCCCAGGGCUCAACCUUGGAAUUGCCUUUGAUACUGGCUAUCUUGAGUACGGAAGAGGUAUGUGGAACUCCGAGUGUAGAGGUGAAAUUCGUAGAUAUUCGGAAGAACACCAGUGGCGAAGGCGACAUACUGGUCCGUUACUGACGCUGAGGCUCGAAAGCGUGGGGAGCAAACAGGAUUAGAUACCCUGGUAGUCCACGCUGUAAACGAUGAGUGCUAGUUGUCGGCAUGCAUGCAUGUCGGUGACGCAGCUAACGCAUUAAGCACUCCGCCUGGGGAUACGGUCGCAAGNUUAAACUCAAAUGAAUUGACGG